This 496-nucleotide ribosomal RNA is filed under the name uncultured bacterium. RNAcentral describes it as "partial 16S ribosomal RNA". It matches the Rfam family "Bacterial small subunit ribosomal RNA", at positions 28 to 506 of the family's 1533-position model. The record is from RNAcentral.
GACGAACGCUGGCGGCGUGCCUAAUACAUGCAAGUUGAGCGCUGAAGGUUGGUACUUGUCCCAACUAGAUGAGCAGCGAACGGGUGAGUAACGCGUGGGGAAUCUGCCUUUGAGCGGGGGACAACAUUUGGAAACGAAUGCUAAUACCGCAUAAAAACUUUAAACACAAGUUUUAAGUUUGAAAGAUGCAAUUGCAUCACUCAAAGAUGAUCCCGCGUUGUAUUAGCUAGUUGGUGAGGUAAAGGCUCACCAAGGCGAUGAUACAUAGCCGACCUGAGAGGGUGAUCGGCCACAUUGGGACUGAGACACGGCCCAAACUCCUACGGGAGGCAGCAGUAGGGAAUCUUCGGCAAUGGACGAAAGUCUGACCGAGCAACGCUGCGUGAGUGAAGAAGGUAUUCGGAUCGUAAAACUCUGUUGGUAGAGAAGAACGUUGGUGAGAGUGGAAAGCUCAUCAAGUGACGGUAACUACCCAGAAAGGGACGGCUAACUACGU